Molecule: ribosomal RNA, 398 nt
Filed under: uncultured bacterium
Lineage: Bacteria
Description: bacterial SSU rRNA
Rfam family: Bacterial small subunit ribosomal RNA
Source: RNAcentral
AAUUUUGUGCAAUGGGGGAAACCCUGACACAGCCACGCCGCGUGCGGGAUGAAGGCCUUCGGGUCGUAAACCGCUUUUCUCGAGGAAGACACCCGACGGUACUCGAGGAAUAAGCAACGGCUAACUACGUGCCAGCAGCCGCGGUAAUACGUAGGGGGCGAGCGUUGUCCGGAUUCAUUGGGCGUAAAGAGCUCGUAGGCGGCUUGGCAAGUCGGGCGUGAAAUCCCCGGGCUUAACUCGGGAUGGUCGUUCGAUACUGCUAUGGCUUGAGUCUGGUAGGGGAGCAUGGAAUUCCUGGUGUAGCGGUGAAAUGCGCAGAUAUCAGGAGGAACACCGGUGGCGAAGGCGGUGCUCUGGGCCAGUACUGACGCUGAGGAGCGAAAGCGUGGGGAGCGAAC